Molecule: long non-coding RNA, 1073 nt
Organism: Amaranthus tricolor (Joseph's coat)
Lineage: Eukaryota; Viridiplantae; Streptophyta; Magnoliopsida; Caryophyllales; Amaranthaceae
Exons: 3
Source: RefSeq, a predicted model, not a curated record
UUUUACCUUCAAACUCUCAAUCCCUCUCUUCCCUCUUCUCUCACAUCCCACUGCCCUCACCCACGGCGGCGGCACAACCAAGCCCAGCCACGAGUUCCACCACCAACAGCAACCACUUCUCCUCCUCCCUUUAUUGUUGGAGACGAUAUCAUUGAAAAACCCUUCUAAUUGAUAGCUGGAUUCGUUACCUUGAAGCGACAUCGUCGCUUGUCUACAGAUCGGAACCAAUCGGGAAUAAUGGAUUAGCGGAGGUGAAUAGAGUUUCCAUGGAUGUUAAUUGAGCUGAGUACUUAGGAAUUAUAGAUUUGUAUUAGGAAUUUUGGAUAAAUGUAAAUUUGUUUUGGCUGUGCUGGUUAUAUCGGACUUGUAGAGAAUUGUAUGAUUAUCUUGUGUAAUAGUUAGAUGUUGGUUUUGGGAUUUAGCCGAGUUAGUCACGUUGAAGAGCUUGUGACCCCUUUGCUUGAGUUUUGGAAGUGAGAUUUCAGUUUCUUGAGAAACGAACCCAAUGAUGACCCUGUUUACCCAGUCAAUGGUAAUUCGGGUUGUUACAACUACCACUUGAAGCAUCAAUGUCAUGUUGCACGAGAUUUGAUCAUAUCGCACGAACAAAGCUAUAUUUAUGCAACGUGUACGACCACAUGUGCACACAUGUAGAGUCAUAUAAGAAUAAUGGACUCCAUGACUAGCCACAUUAGUAAUUGACCUGACGUUUAGGUCACCAACAGGUAGGAAUGUUUAAAACAAGAUACCAGAUCAUUAUUGAUUCAAAUACUUGAUAUUUUGGAGAGCCAAAUCAUGAUUUGGUUCUGUUUCGGGUUAAUCGAAUAUGUGGGUUACCCCGGAUCGAAUACUGGAUACUUGAUUAUGUUUUUAUUUUAAAUUAUUUUUUUUUCUCAUUUUACGCUUUUGUACAUACAUACAUUUAGUGCUUUUGUACACACAUACAUUUAAGUCCAUAUUGCUUUUGCGUAAAGAGUAUUCUUCAACCUGACGAUGUUUUAAGAAAUAUUUCAAAAGUCUAAACUAAUUAGCAAUCGAUAAAUUACGCAACUUAGUUGUAGUUGAGAAUUGUA